RNAcentral lists this unclassified non-coding RNA (366 nucleotides) under Hevea brasiliensis (rubber tree). Lineage: Eukaryota; Viridiplantae; Streptophyta; Magnoliopsida; Malpighiales; Euphorbiaceae. The record is from RNAcentral.
GAAAAUCCUUAAAAUUUUUGUACUUUUCCAAAAGCAAUGUAUGUCCUUGCAUUCUUAUAUUAUUGUUUUCAAGUUUACAUGGUAAGAAUGCUUUUAAGCCAAUUUUUUAAAAUUGUAUAAUCCAUUUUUCCUGACGGCCAUUGUCAGCUGCCAAUUUAAUUAAUGCACAUUCAACAUUUUGAUGAGGAUUUUUUGCUUUGAUAUCAUGUAACCUGAAGGGAAGGACUGCUUUCAAGUUUUCUAGUUCAUGGAUGUUCUAUCUGCACAAAUUAGUUUUGAUCUUGGAUAUUAAAGUAGUGUUUGAAAUUACCAUUGGUUUGUUAGUGCUUUUUUUUUCCUCUGUUGAGGGUCUUCAUUGAUAUGGAA